Molecule: ribosomal RNA, 164 nt
Filed under: uncultured bacterium
Lineage: Bacteria
Description: partial 16S ribosomal RNA
Rfam family: Bacterial small subunit ribosomal RNA
Source: RNAcentral
UAGGGAAUCUUCCACAAUGGACGAAAGUCUGACGGAGCAACGCCGCGUGAGUGAAGAAGGGUUUCGGCUCGUAAAACUCUGUUGUUAAAGAAGAACAUAUCUGAGAGUAACUGUUCAGGUAUUGACGGUAUUUAACCAGAAGGCCACGGCUAACUACGUGGCAG